Molecule: unclassified non-coding RNA, 209 nt
Filed under: Hevea brasiliensis (rubber tree)
Lineage: Eukaryota; Viridiplantae; Streptophyta; Magnoliopsida; Malpighiales; Euphorbiaceae
Source: RNAcentral
CCUGAAUGCAAAAGGCAAGUAAAACUUCAUAAAUAAACCCUUUGAUUGGCUAUAAUAAUGUGUGAACCAAUAGAUAGUCGUUCUCUUUGUGACUUGUCCAGGUUUGUUUAGCUUACAUGCUGCAAAAACGUAAUACUACAUAGCACGAGUGCCAAUAGUUCUACAAAAGUUUGUGCCAAAAAAUGGAAAGUGAAAAUGAACCUGCAAAA